Molecule: ribosomal RNA, 406 nt
Filed under: uncultured bacterium
Lineage: Bacteria
Description: partial 16S ribosomal RNA
Rfam family: Bacterial small subunit ribosomal RNA
Source: RNAcentral
AUUGAACGCUGGCGGCAGGCCUAACACAUGCAAGUCGAGCGAGCGGCGGACGGGCGAGUAAUGUAUGGGGAUGUGCGUGAUCGAGGGGGAUAACUACUGGAAACGGUGGCUAAUACCGCAUACUAUCCGAUGGGCCCCCAUGGGUUUAGCUAGUAGGUGGGGUAAAGGCUCACCUAGGCGACGAUCCCUAGCUGGUCUGAGAGGAUGAUCAGCCACACUGGGACUGAGACACGGCCCAGACUCCUACGGGAGGCAGCAGUGGGGAAUAUUGCACAAUGGGCGCAAGCCUGAUGCAGCCAUGCCGCGUGUAUGAAGAAGGCCUUAGGGUUGUAAAAUACUGUCGGCAGGGAAGCGUUACCCACAGAAGAAGCACCGGCUAACUCCGUGCCAGCAGCCGCGGUAAUUC